AUUGAACGCUGGCGGCAUGCUUUACACACGCAAGUCGAACGGUAACAGGCCGCAAGGUGCUGACGAGUGGCGAACGGGUGAGUAAUGCAUCGGAACGUGCCCAGUCGUGGGGGAUAACUACUCGAAAGAGUAGCUAAUACCGCAUACGAUCUAUGGAUGAAAGCGGGGGACCGUAAGGCCUCGCGCGAUUGGAGCGGCCGAUGUCAGAUUAGGUAGUUGGUGGGGUAAAGGCUCACCAAGCCAACGAUCUGUAGCUGGUCUGAGAGGACGACCAGCCACACUGGGACUGAGACACGGCCCAGACUCCUACGGGAGGCAGCAGUGGGGAAUUUUGGACAAUGGGCGCAAGCCUGAUCCAGCAAUGCCGCGUGCAGGAAGAAGGCCUUCGGGUUGUAAACUGCUUUUGUACGGAACGAAACGGCUCUGGUUAAUACCCGGGGCUAAUGACGGUACCGUAAGAAUAAGCACCGGCUAACUACGUG
This 482-nucleotide ribosomal RNA is filed under the name uncultured bacterium. RNAcentral describes it as "partial 16S ribosomal RNA". It matches the Rfam family "Bacterial small subunit ribosomal RNA", at positions 30 to 507 of the family's 1533-position model. The record is from RNAcentral.